Molecule: ribosomal RNA, 791 nt
Filed under: uncultured fungus
Lineage: Eukaryota; Fungi
Description: eukaryotic LSU rRNA
Rfam family: 5.8S ribosomal RNA (bases 279-433)
Source: RNAcentral
UAUUGCUGAGAAGCUGAUCAAACUUGGUCAUUUAGAGGAAGUAAAAGUCGUAACAAGGUUUCCGUAGGUGAACCUGCGGAAGGAUCAUUAUCGAAUUUAUAGGUGAGGGUUGUAGCUGGCCUUUCGGGGCACGUGCACGCCCGAGCCCUUAACGUCCCAACACACCUGUGAACCCACCGUAGGCCUUCGGGCUUAUGUAUACCUCCAUAAACUCUGAAUGUGACAUAGAAUGUAAACUACAGUUUCGUCGCCCUAAAACGGCGGCGGAAAUAAUAUACAACUUUCAACAACGGAUCUCUUGGCUCUCGCAUCGAUGAAGAACGCAGCGAAAUGCGAUAAGUAAUGUGAAUUGCAGAUUUUCAGUGAAUCAUCGAAUCUUUGAACGCACCUUGCGCUCCUUGGUAUUCCGAGGAGCAUGCCUGUUUGAGUGUCAUUAAAUCCUCAACCCUCCCUUGCGGGUGUGGCUUGGACUUGGAGCGUGCUGGCGAAGGUCGGCUCCUCUUUAAAUGCAUCAGCGGAAAGCUUUUCUGGCCGUUCGGCGUGAUAACACUGUUGCGCCGUGGAAGCCUCUGUAAAGGCCUCGCUUACAAUCGUCUUCGGACAAACGACAUCUCAGUCAAAUCCACUUUGACCUCAAAUCAGGUAGGACUACCCGCUGAACUUAAGCAUAUCAAUAAGCGGAGGAAAAGAAACUAACAAGGAUUCCCCUAGUAACUGCGAGUGAAGCGGGAAAAGCUCAAAUUUAAAAUCUGGCGGUCGCUUUGGCCGUCCGAGUUGUAAUCUGGAGAAGC